GAUCCUUCAUAGAUAGCCGGGACGGCCAUUGUAAUCAUAUUGUCAGGACAGCUCAGAGAAUGGGUCUGCAGCCGGAUUACACGGCUCAGAACCUCGGCUUCCGAUGUGUCCGCAGUGCCAAAGCCUACUGGGAUCUCCAUGGUCACAAGAACUUACGGAGACCAUACAUUGGGGACAACAAACCAGACCCCAGGAGGAGGCGCCCACCCAGGCACCACCGGAAAGAUGAACUGUAAGGCCUGCCACAUGGGGGAAUGUUAACUAUAGAGAGGGCUCUUCAAGACCUACUGUGAAAGACUCUAGUCACAAAAUAGUGGACAGUCACGUCACAAGAAAUACAAACUGAUCACAGGAACAGCUGGACGAAAAGUAAAGAAAUCUUCAUCAAAUUUUAGCUCAAUUUUUAAAGAAGUCUUUAUAAUAAAACAUUUACAAUG
This is a long non-coding RNA of Saccostrea cuccullata (small rock oyster), 437 nucleotides long. RefSeq lists it as uncharacterized. The record is from RefSeq and is a predicted model, not a curated record. The transcript has 2 exons. NCBI's taxonomy places the organism in Eukaryota, Metazoa, Mollusca, Bivalvia, Ostreida, Ostreidae.